Molecule: long non-coding RNA, 516 nt
Filed under: Heterocephalus glaber (naked mole-rat)
Lineage: Eukaryota; Metazoa; Chordata; Mammalia; Rodentia; Bathyergidae
Description: lncRNA (ENSHGLG00000039495.1)
Source: RNAcentral
UGCCUCUAACAGACAAGAAGUUUUGGCUUGUUUUCUCUGAGUUUCGGGCCAUAGUAGCAAAGACAGAAAAAUGGCACCUCCUGUUACCAGUUCUCAGCCCCAGUAUCCUCUGUGAGACAUGCCAGGGAUCCAAAAUUUAGUAUCACUGAUUGAAAGAAACUAUGGACCCAUGGUCUGGGGAUUCUGGAGAGAAAAUAUCUGUGGUGAAGAACACUUCUCCUUUCAGUGAAAUUCACCAGGGCUUUGGUUAAGAAUCAUCCUGGUUGUCAUGUGGAGUCAAGAGUGGAAUGCUGAGGGUCGAGAACAAAGGCAGGAAGAAGAAAGAAGAAAUUAACUUUUACUUCCCAAGAUGAUUGUGAAGAUUAAAAGAAAAAAUGGGGUGAAGAUACCUUGUCACAUUUGGAUUUAAUAAAUUCAGGGAAUGAGCUACUGACUUGGGCAUUGCCGAUCAUACCCCAUCAUGAAACGUUCUCUCUUCCUUUCCAUGAGCCUGCUCAAUAUUAUUUCUAAGGGAAC